GGUUAAGCGACUAAGCGUACACGGUGGAUGCCCUGGCAGUCAGAGGCGAUGAAGGACGUGCUAAUCUGCGAUAAGCGUCGGUAAGGUGAUAUGAACCGUUAUAACCGGCGAUUUCCGAAUGGGGAAACCCAGUGUGUUUCGACACACUAUCAUUAACUGAAUCCAUAGGUUAAUGAGGCGAACCGGGGGAACUGAAACAUCUAAGUACCCCGAGGAAAAGAAAUCAACCGAGAUUCCCCCAGUAGCGGCGAGCGAACGGGGAGCAGCCCAGAGCCUGAAUCAGUGUGUGUGUUAGUGGAAGCGUCUGGAAAGGCGCGCGAUACAGGGUGACAGCCCCGUACACAAAAAUGCACAUGCUGUGAGCUCGAUGAGUAGGGCGGGACACGUGGUAUCCUGUCUGAAUAUGGGGGGACCAUCCUCCAAGGCUAAAUACUCCUGACUGACCGAUAGUGAACCAGUACCGUGAGGGAAAGGCGAAAAGAACCCCGGCGAGGGGAGUGAAAAAGAACCUGAAACCGUGUACGUACAAGCAGUGGGAGCACGCUUAGGCGUGUGACUGCGUACCUUUUGUAUAAUGGGUCAGCGACUUAUAUUCUGUAGCAAGGUUAACCGAAUAGGGGAGCCGAAGGGAAACCGAGUCUUAACUGGGCGUUAAGUUGCAGGGUAUAGACCCGAAACCCGGUGAUCUAGCCAUGGGCAGGUUGAAGGUUGGGUAACACUAACUGGAGGACCGAACCGACUAAUGUUGAAAAAUUAGCGGAUGACUUGUGGCUGGGGGUGAAAGGCCAAUCAAACCGGGAGAUAGCUGGUUCUCCCCGAAAGCUAUUUAGGUAGCGCCUCGUGAAUUCAUCUCCGGGGGUAGAGCACUGUUUCGGCAAGGGGGUCAUCCCGACUUACCAACCCGAUGCAAACUGCGAAUACCGGAGAAUGUUAUCACGGGAGACACACGGCGGGUGCUAACGUCCGUCGUGAAGAGGGAAACAACCCAGACCGCCAGCUAAGGUCCCAAAGUCAUGGUUAAGUGGGAAACGAUGUGGGAAGGCCCAGACAGCCAGGAUGUUGGCUUAGAAGCAGCCAUCAUUUAAAGAAAGCGUAAUAGCUCACUGGUCGAGUCGGCCUGCGCGGAAGAUGUAACGGGGCUAAACCAUGCACCGAAGCUGCGGCAGCGACGCUGAUGCGUUGUUGGGUAGGGGAGCGUUCUGUAAGCCUGCGAAGGUGUACUGUGAGGUAUGCUGGAGGUAUCAGAAGUGCGAAUGCUGACAUAAGUAACGAUAAAGCGGGUGAAAAGCCCGCUCGCCGGAAGACCAAGGGUUCCUGUCCAACGUUAAUCGGGGCAGGGUGAGUCGACCCCUAAGGCGAGGCCGAAAGGCGUAGUCGAUGGGAAACAGGUUAAUAUUCCUGUACUUGGUGUUACUGCGAAGGGGGGACGGAGAAGGCUAUGUUGGCCGGGCGACGGUUGUCCCGGUUUAAGCGUGUAGGCUGGUUUUCCAGGCAAAUCCGGAAAAUCAAGGCUGAGGCGUGAUGACGAGGCACUACGGUGCUGAAGUAACAAAUGCCCUGCUUCCAGGAAAAGCCUCUAAGCAUCAGGUAACAUCAAAUCGUACCCCAAACCGACACAGGUGGUCAGGUAGAGAAUACCAAGGCGCUUGAGAGAACUCGGGUGAAGGAACUAGGCAAAAUGGUGCCGUAACUUCGGGAGAAGGCACGCUGAUAUGUAGGUGAAGCGACUUGCUCGUGGAGCUGAAAUCAGUCGAAGAUACCAGCUGGCUGCAACUGUUUAUUAAAAACACAGCACUGUGCAAACACGAAAGUGGACGUAUACGGUGUGACGCCUGCCCGGUGCCGGAAGGUUAAUUGAUGGGGUUAGCGGUAACGCGAAGCUCUUGAUCGAAGCCCCGGUAAACGGCGGCCGUAACUAUAACGGUCCUAAGGUAGCGAAAUUCCUUGUCGGGUAAGUUCCGACCUGCACGAAUGGCGUAAUGAUGGCCAGGCUGUCUCCACCCGAGACUCAGUGAAAUUGAACUCGCUGUGAAGAUGCAGUGUACCCGCGGCAAGACGGAAAGACCCCGUGAACCUUUACUAUAGCUUGACACUGAACAUUGAGCCUUGAUGUGUAGGAUAGGUGGGAGGCUUAGAAGUGUGGACGCCAGUCUGCAUGGAGCCGACCUUGAAAUACCACCCUUUAAUGUUUGAUGUUCUAACGUUGGCCCCUAAUCGGGGUUGCGGACAGUGUCUGGUGGGUAGUUUGACUGGGGCGGUCUCCUCCUAAAGAGUAACGGAGGAGCACGAAGGUUGGCUAAUCCUGGUCGGACAUCAGGAGGUUAGUGCAAUGGCAUAAGCCAGCUUGACUGCGAGCGUGACGGCGCGAGCAGGUGCGAAAGCAGGUCAUAGUGAUCCGGUGGUUCUGAAUGGAAGGGCCAUCGCUCAACGGAUAAAAGGUACUCCGGGGAUAACAGGCUGAUACCGCCCAAGAGUUCAUAUCGACGGCGGUGUUUGGCACCUCGAUGUCGGCUCAUCACAUCCUGGGGCUGAAGUAGGUCCCAAGGGUAUGGCUGUUCGCCAUUUAAAGUGGUACGCGAGCUGGGUUUAGAACGUCGUGAGACAGUUCGGUCCCUAUCUGCCGUGGGCGCUGGAGAACUGAGGGGGGCUGCUCCUAGUACGAGAGGACCGGAGUGGACGCAUCACUGGUGUUCGGGUUGUCAUGCCAAUGGCACUGCCCGGUAGCUAAAUGCGGAAGAGAUAAGUGCUGAAAGCAUCUAAGCACGAAACUUGCCCCGAGAUGAGUUCUCCCUGACCCUUUAAGGGUCCUGAAGGAACGUUGAAGACGACGACGUUGAUAGGCCGGGUGUGUAAGCGCAGCGAUGCGUUGAGCUAACCGGUACUAAUGAACCGUGAGGCUUAACCUU
RNAcentral lists this ribosomal RNA (2906 nucleotides) under Escherichia coli. RNAcentral's name for it is "23S ribosomal RNA". It matches the Rfam family "Bacterial large subunit ribosomal RNA". The record is from RNAcentral. Lineage: Bacteria; Pseudomonadati; Pseudomonadota; Gammaproteobacteria; Enterobacterales; Enterobacteriaceae.